GUGCAUACGCAGAAGCUAGCUUGACUGUGAGGCUGACACGCCAAGCAGGGACGAAAGUCGGAGUAAGUGACCCGCUGUAUUAGCAAUUUAUUGCUUAUGAAAGUGGGAUCGACAGCGCAAACGGACAAAAGUUACCCUAGGGAUAACAGGCUUAUCGGAUCCAAUAGUUCACAUAGACGAUCCGGUUUGGCACCUCGAUGUCGGCUCAUCUCAUCCUGGGGCUGAAGCAUGUCCCAAGGGUCCGGCUGUUCGCCGGUUAAAGAGGUACGUGAGCUGGGUUCAGAACGUAAAUUACAUUGCGUUCUACCACUGUAAAGUGGUAAAAUACUAGUGUACAUCGCACUUAUAGUAUUAAAUCUGACUGAAAUCGGUGAAACCCCACCUGGAUAUUACGAACGAUCCAGAGGGCAAUACCGAGGGAAGAUUAGCAAAAUGUUUGACGAAGUAGCGGCAUAUAUUGCCGGUUUUCUUGAUGGUGAUGGCUCAGUUAUGGCCCAGUUGGUAUAUCGUAAGGAUUACCGGCUUGGUUAUCAGAUACGGGUAAGCAUUGUGUUUUACCAGAAGCAAUCCCAUAAUGAAAUCCUCUUUUGGCUAAAAGAGCAGCUCGUAUUCGGGUAUAUACGUGACCGUAAUGACGGUAUGACGGAAUACACGAUUGUCGGGCAGGAAGAAGUAGCACAGGUUUUAAGCUUACUCCAUCCGAACCUUCGUCUAAAGAAGAAACUUGCUCAAGAUGUUAUGAAGCUCAUCUCGCUCCAUCCUAAAAAGAUGACAGCAGUUAAGCUCAUACGGCUCGCUGAAAUGGUUGAUAAAACAGCUGAAUUUAAUUAUUCAAAGAAACGAACCAAUACAUCAGAAGUAGUAAGGCAAUUCUUGAAAGACAAAGAGCUUUUCCCCGUAGAGACUUCUUGUUAGUUUGCUACUAGCAAGAGAUGGAAGUUGAAAAUAUGACUUUCAUAAAACGUCAGCGCCUUACAUAACCUAUUGUAAGGAUGAAGAUAUAGUCCGUGCCAUCAGUAAUGGUGGAGUAGUUUUAAGUUUGAACAGCUUGAAAUGACACGCGUGAGACAGUUCGGUUUAUAUCCGCUGUGGACGCAAGGAAAUUUGAGGAGAUUUGACUCUAGUACGAGAGGACCGAGUUGAACAUACCGCUGGUGUACCAAUUGUCCUACCAAGGGCAUGGUUGGGUAGCUACGUAUGGAACAGAUAAGCGCUGAAAGCAUAUUAAGCGCGAAACUGACUUCAAGAUAAGAUUUCCCUAUGAGAUCCCUGAAAGACUAUCAGGUUGAUAGGCGCAAGGUGUAAGCACCGCAAGGUGUGUAGCCGAAGCGUACUAAUAGAUCCAUCGACUUU
Molecule: ribosomal RNA, 1353 nt
Filed under: Candidatus Saccharimonadota bacterium
Lineage: Bacteria; Candidatus Saccharimonadota
Description: partial 23S ribosomal RNA
Rfam family: Bacterial large subunit ribosomal RNA
Source: RNAcentral